AGUUUAGACUCGCGGCACCGAGCUCAGUAACACGUGGCCAAACUACCCUGUAGAGACGUAUAACCUCGGGAAACUGAGGCUAAUCCGUCAUACCGGUUGAACGGUUGAACUCCAUCAACCCCGAAAUGCCCCGGCGCUACAGGAUGUGGCUGCGGCCGAUUAGGUUGACGGUGGGGUAACGGCCCACCGUGCCAAUAAUCGGAACAGGUUGUGAGAGCAAGAACCUGGAGACGGCAUCUGAGACAAGAUGCCGGGCCCUACGGGGCGCAGCAGGCGCGAAACCUUUACACUGCACGCACGUGCGAUAAGGGGACUCCGAGUGCGAGGGCAUAUCGUCCUCGCUUUUGUGUACCGUAGGGUGGUACACGAACAAGGGCUGGGCAAGACCGGUGCCAGCCGCCGCGGU
Molecule: ribosomal RNA, 406 nt
Filed under: uncultured archaeon
Lineage: Archaea
Description: bacterial SSU rRNA
Rfam family: Archaeal small subunit ribosomal RNA
Source: RNAcentral